RNAcentral lists this transfer RNA (71 nucleotides) under Beta vulgaris subsp. vulgaris (sugar beet). It matches the Rfam family "tRNA". Rfam says of the family: Transfer RNA (tRNA) molecules are approximately 80 nucleotides in length. Their secondary structure includes four short double-helical elements and three loops (D, anti-codon, and T loops). The record is from Rfam by way of RNAcentral. Lineage: Eukaryota; Viridiplantae; Streptophyta; Magnoliopsida; Caryophyllales; Amaranthaceae.
GCGGAUAUAGUCGAAUGUUAAAAUUUCUCUUUGUCAAGGAGAAGACGCGUGUUCGAUUUUCGCUAUCCGCU